Molecule: ribosomal RNA, 441 nt
Filed under: uncultured bacterium
Lineage: Bacteria
Description: partial 16S ribosomal RNA
Rfam family: Bacterial small subunit ribosomal RNA
Source: RNAcentral
CCUACGGGAGGCAGCAGUGGGGAAUAUUGCACAAUGGGGGAAACCCUGAUGCAGCAACGCCGCGUGAGUGAGGAAGUAUUUCGGUAUGUAAAGCUCUAUCAGCAGGGAAUAGAAACGAAGGUACCUGAAACAGACGCCCCGGCUAACUACGUGCCAGCAGCCGCGGUAAUACGUAGGGGGCAAGCGUUAUCCGGAUUUACUGGGUGUAAAGGGAGCGUAGACGGAAAGGCAAGUCAGAAGUGAAAGCCCAAGGCUCAACCAUGGGACUGCUUUUGAAACUGUCAAACUAGAGUACGGGAGAGGUAAGAGGAAUUCCUAGUGUAGCGGUGAAAUGCGUAGAUAUAAGGAAGAACACCAGUGGCGAAGGCGGAUGACUGGACGGCAACUGACGGUGAGGCGCGAAAGCGUGGGGAGCAAACAGGAUUAGAUACCCCGGUAGUC